ACCUAGAAGUGUGCCAAAAAGCCCAGCUGCUUCAUACCAGGUCAAAAAGAAUCCUAUUUGCACCGUUCUCUUAAUAGAUCUGACUACCUUUAAUUUUUUUUAUUUUUUUUAUUUUUUUAUUUUACUUGAUAUUUAGGCCCUAAUUGGACCUGGAUAUCAGUUACUUUACCCAUUCUUAAAAUGUUACAUUUGCUGUAUUCCACCAAUGUGGUACCAGUGUCUGGACAAUCUGCUUACUUCGAGAAUGUUCUCAUUGACAAUGUGAUUAAAUAUGUUGAAUUAUUUUACAAUAGUUUUCAUUUUAUUUAUACAUUGUUGAUUUUUUUUUUUUUUUUUUUUUUUUUUGUGCAUAACAUCUCUACUCUAUUGAAAACGGACAAAUAUAUUACUUGAUUUCAGGUCAAACUGAUUAUUUUUCAUCUCCAGCGUAUCCUCUUUUUGUAGCAGCAAGCUGCUCCUUUUUCUAUUCUCAAUUUCUUUAUAAAAUGGAAGAGGCUUUUUCUAUCCUUUUUUAGAGGAUAUGACUCAUCUAGAUUUCUUGCAGCUAUCAAUUUAUCCCUACAUUUUCUGACCUUAAGAAAAGGAUUUUUUUUUUCUAGAUUGGUACUUUUCCAACAUUCCUUUGAUUAUUUUGUUUGUUUGUUUGUUUAUGCUGUUUGUUUUUAUCCAUUUAGAUCUAUUUUCUAUUUGCUUGAUGUUUCCAGCUCUUAAAAUAUCCUUUCCUACAUUACAUGGUUGAUAGAAUUUUUUCUAUAAUAUAUCACUAGACAGAAAAAAAUGAUUUUUUUGUUUACUGUUCCUAGCUAUUUUCCCAUAGAGAGCAUGUACAUUGCAGUACAAUGCACUAAAUCAUUUUUUUUUUUUUUUUUUUUUUAAAAAAAAAAACAAUGAUGAGGGUUUUUCCUGUGCUUUGGUCUAUCGUACAAUGCCAAAGGUAAAAUUUCUCAUUUAAUCUUAUUACUAGUGCCAGGGGAUUAAUGUCAGGUGGCACUUGUGGUGACAGUGAAAAGAUUAAAAAAUAAUUCCAUUAAA
Oxyura jamaicensis (ruddy duck) is the source of this 1032-nucleotide long non-coding RNA. RefSeq lists it as uncharacterized. The record is from RefSeq and is a predicted model, not a curated record. The transcript has 2 exons. Lineage: Eukaryota; Metazoa; Chordata; Aves; Anseriformes; Anatidae.